GCACGUCAUCGUAAGCAUUGCAAAAUGUAGUUGUUAAAUUCGCUCUUCAAUCAUUAACAACAUUUACAAUGUUUGCAGGCUGUCAACGUUGAUGGC
Non-coding RNA from Drosophila melanogaster (fruit fly), 96 nucleotides. The record is from Ensembl. Lineage: Eukaryota; Metazoa; Arthropoda; Insecta; Diptera; Drosophilidae.